This 264-nucleotide ribosomal RNA is filed under the name uncultured bacterium. RNAcentral's name for it is "partial 16S ribosomal RNA". It matches the Rfam family "Bacterial small subunit ribosomal RNA", at positions 545 to 793 of the family's 1533-position model. The record is from RNAcentral.
UCGGAAUUACUGGGCGUAAAGACGCAUGCAGGUGGUUUGUUUAAGUUCAGAUGUGAAAGACCCGGGGCCGUCAACCUACCGGAAUAGCAUUUGUAAACUAGGCAGACUAGAGUACUGUAGAGGGGGGUAGGAAUUUCUAGGUGUAGCGGUGAAAUAGCGUAGAGAUCUGAAGGAAUACCGGUGGCGAAGGCGGCCCCCCUCGGACAGAUACUGACACUCAGAUGCGAAAGCGUGGGGAGCAAACAGGAUUAGAUACCCUGGUAG